This 771-nucleotide ribosomal RNA is filed under the name uncultured bacterium. RNAcentral's name for it is "bacterial SSU rRNA". It matches the Rfam family "Bacterial small subunit ribosomal RNA", at positions 35 to 834 of the family's 1533-position model. The record is from RNAcentral.
GCUGGCGGCAGGCCUAACACAUGCAAGUCGAACGGAGUUAUAUUGUAGCUUGCUAUGGUAUAACUUAGUGGCAGACGGGUGAGUAAUGUAUAGGAAUCUACCUAGUAGUACGGAAUAAUUGUUGGAAACGGCAACUAAUACCGUAUACGCCCUACGGGGGAAAAAUUUAUUGCUAUUAGAUGAGCCUAUAUUAGAUUAGCUAGUUGGUGGAGUAAUAGCCUACCAAGGCAAUGAUCUAUAGCUGAUCUGAGAGGAUGAUCAGCCACACUGGAACUGAGAUACGGUCCAGACUCCUACGGGAGGCAGCAGUGGGGAAUAUUGGACAAUGGGCGAAAGCCUGAUCCAGCCAUGCCGCAUGAGUGAAGAAGGCCUUUGGGUUGUAAAGCUCUUUUAGUGAGGAAGAUAAUGACGGUACUCACAGAAGAAGUCCUGGCUAACUCCGUGCCAGCAGCCGCGGUAAUACGGAGAGGGCUAGCGUUAUUCGGAAUUAUUGGGCGUAAAGGGCGCGUAGGCGGAUUAGUAAGUUAAAAGUGAAAUCCCAAGGCUCAACCUUGGAAUUGCUUUUAAAACUGCUAAUCUAGAGAUUGAAAGAGGAUAGAGGAAUUCCUAGUGUAGAGGUGAAAUUCGUAAAUAUUAGGAGGAACACCAGUGGCGAAGGCGUCUAUCUGGUUCAAAUCUGACGCUGAGGCGCGAAGGCGUGGGGAGCAAACAGGAUUAGAUACCCUGGUAGUCCACGCUGUAAACGAUGAAUGUUAAAUAUGGGAAGUUUUA